UACGGAGGAUCCGAGCGUUAUCCGGAUUUAUUGGGUUUAAAGGGUGCGCAGGCGGAAUAUUAAGUCGGCGGUGAAAGUUUGCAGCUUAACUGUAAAAUUGCCGUUGAUACUGGUAUUCUUGAGUGUAUGUGAAGUAGGCGGAAUUUGUAGUGUAGCGGUGAAAUGCAUAGAUAUUACGAGGAACUCCGAUUGCGCAGGCAGCUUACUAAACUACUACUGACGCUCAGGCACGAAGGCGUGGGGAUCAAACAGGAUUAGAUACCCUGGUA
This 269-nucleotide ribosomal RNA is filed under the name uncultured prokaryote. Its description in RNAcentral is "partial 16S ribosomal RNA". It matches the Rfam family "Bacterial small subunit ribosomal RNA", at positions 524 to 792 of the family's 1533-position model. The record is from RNAcentral.